AAUAUUUCACAAUGGGGGAAACCCUGAUGCAGCGAUGCCGCGUGAGUGAAGAAGGCCUUCGGGUCGUAAAGCUCUUUCCUACGGGAAGAAACGGACGGUACCUUUGGAGGAAGCCCCGGCAAACUACGUCCCAGCAGCCGCGGUCAAACGUAGGGGGCGAGCGUUAUCCGGAAUUAUUGGGCGUAAAGGGUGCGUAGGCGGCUUGUUAAGACAGAUGUGAAAGGCUACGGCUUAACCGUAGUUAGCAUUUGAAACUAAAAGGCUUGAGUGCAGGAGAGGAGAGUAGAAUUCCUAGUGUAGCGGUGAAAUGCGUAGAUAUUAGGAGGAACACCAGUGGCGAAGGCGACUCUCUGGACUGCAACUGACGCUGAGGCACGAAAGCGUGGGGAGCGAAC
This 395-nucleotide ribosomal RNA is filed under the name uncultured bacterium. RNAcentral describes it as "partial 16S ribosomal RNA". It matches the Rfam family "Bacterial small subunit ribosomal RNA", at positions 360 to 773 of the family's 1533-position model. The record is from RNAcentral.